Molecule: ribosomal RNA, 1437 nt
Filed under: uncultured organism
Description: SSU rRNA
Rfam family: Bacterial small subunit ribosomal RNA
Source: RNAcentral
AGGCUUAACACAUGCAAGUCGAGGGGCAUCAGGAAGAAAGCUUGCUUUCUUUGCUGGCGACCGGCGCACGGGUGAGUAACACGUAUCCAACCUGCCCUUUACUCGGGGAUAGCCUUUCGAAAGAAAGAUUAAUACCCGAUGGCAUAAUGAUUCCGCAUGGUUUCAUUAUUAAAGGAUUCCGGUCAAGGAUGGGGAUGCGUUCCAUUAGGUUGUUGGUGAGGUAACGGCUCACCAAGCCUUCGAUGGAUAGGGGUUCUGAGAGGAAGGUCCCCCACAUUGGAACUGAGACACGGUCCAAACUCCUACGGGAGGCAGCAGUGAGGAAUAUUGGUCAAUGGGCGCUAGCCUGAACCAGCCAAGUAGCGUGAAGGAUGAAGGCUCUAUGGGUCGUAAACUUCUUUUAUAUAAGAAUAAAGUGCAGUAUGUAUACUGUUUUGUAUGUAUUAUAUGAAUAAGGAUCGGCUAACUCCGUGCCAGCAGCCGCGGUAAUACGGAGGAUCCGAGCGUUAUCCGGAUUUAUUGGGUCUAAAGGGAGCGUAGGUGGACUGGUAAGUCAGUUGUGAAAGUUUGCGGCUCAACCGUAAAAUUGCAGUUGAUACUGUCAGUCUUGAGUACAGUAGAGGUGGGCGGAAUUCGUGGUGUAGCGGUGAAAUGCUUAGAUAUCACGAAGAACUCCGAUUGCGAAGGCAGCUCACUGGACUGCAACUGACACUGAUGCUCGAAAGUGUGGGUAUCAAACAGGAUUAGAUACCCUGGUAGUCCACACAAUAAACGAUGAAUACUCGCUGUUUGCGAUAUACAGUAAGCGGCCAAGCGAAAGCAUUAAGUAUUCCACCUAGGGAGUACGCCGGCAACGGUGAAACUCAAAGGAAUUGACGGGGGCCCGCACAAGCGGAGGAACAUGUGGUUUAAUUCGAUGAUACGCGAGGAACCUUACCCGGGCUUAAAUUGCAGUGGAAUGAUGUGGAAACAUGUCAGUGAGCAAUCACCGCUGUGAAGGUGCUGCAUGGUUGUCGUCAGCUCGUGCCGUGAGGUGUCGGCUUAAGUGCCAUAACGAGCGCAACCCUUAUCUUUAGUUACUAACAGGUUAUGCUGAGGACUCUAGAGAGACUGCCGUCGUAAGAUGUGAGGAAGGUGGGGAUGACGUCAAAUCAGCACGGCCCUUACGUCCGGGGCUACACACGUGUUACAAUGGGGGGUACAGAAGGCAGCUAGCGGGUGACCGUAUGCUAAUCCCAAAAGCCUCUCUCAGUUCGGAUCGAAGUCUGCAACCCGACUUCGUGAAGCUGGAUUCGCUAGUAAUCGCGCAUCAGCCACGGCGCGGUGAAUACGUUCCCGGGCCUUGUACACACCGCCCGUCAAGCCAUGGGAGCCGGGGGUACCUGAAGUACGUAACCGCAAGGAUCGUCCUAGGGUAAAACUGGUGACUGGGGCUAA